UACGUAGGGGGCUAGCGUUGUCCGGAAUCAUUGGGCGUAAAGCGCGUGUAGGCGGCCCAGUAAGUCCGCUGUGAAAGUCGGGGGCUCAACCCUCGGAUGCCGGUGGAUACUGUCGGGCUCGAGUACGGAAGAGGCGAGUGGAAUUCCUGGUGUAGCGGUGAAAUGCGCAGAUAUCAGGAGGAACACCGAUUGCGAAGGCAGCUCGCUGGGACGUUACUGACGCUGAGACGCGAAAGCGUGGGGAGCGAACAGG
Molecule: ribosomal RNA, 253 nt
Filed under: uncultured bacterium
Lineage: Bacteria
Description: partial 16S ribosomal RNA
Rfam family: Bacterial small subunit ribosomal RNA
Source: RNAcentral